RNAcentral lists this ribosomal RNA (429 nucleotides) under uncultured bacterium. RNAcentral describes it as "bacterial SSU rRNA". It matches the Rfam family "Bacterial small subunit ribosomal RNA", at positions 29 to 506 of the family's 1533-position model. The record is from RNAcentral.
GCGAACGCUGGCGGCAGGCUUAACACAUGCAAGUCGAGCGCCCCGCAAGGGGAGCGGCAGACGGGAGAGUAACACGUGGGAACGUACCUUUCAGUUCGGGACAACCAAGGGAAACUUUGGCUAAUACCGGAUACGCCCGUAAGGGGAAAGAUUUAUCGCUGAAAGAUCGGCCCGCGUCUGAUUAGCUAGUUGGUGAGGUAACGGCUCACCAAGGCGACGAUCAGUAGCUGGUCUGAGAGGAUGAUCAGCCUCACUGGGACUGAGACACGGCCCAGACUCCUACGGGAGGCAGCAGUGGGGAAUAUUGGACAAUGGGCGCAAGCCUGAUCCAGCCAUGCCGCGUGGAUGAUGAAGGCCUUAGGGUUGUAAAGUCCUUUUAACGGGGAAGAUAAUGACGGUACCCGUAGAAUAAGCCCCGGCUAACUUCGU